AAUAUUGGUCAAGGGACGCAAGUCUGAACCAGCCAUGCCGCGUGCAGGAAGACUGCCCUAUGUGUUGUAAACUGCUUUUGUACGGGAACAAACCCUUCUACGUGUAGGAGGCUGCGUUUACCGUCAGAAUAAGGAUCAUCUACCUCCGUGCCAGCAGCCGCGGGAAUACGGAGGAUCCCAGCGUUAUCCGGAUUUAUUGGGUUUAAAGGUUUCGUAGGCGGCCCGUUAAGUCAGGGGUGAAAGACGGCAGCUCAACUGUCGCAGUGCCUUUGAUACUGACGGGCUUGAAUGCGGAUGAGGUAGGAGGAAUGAGACAAGUAGCGGUGAAAUGCAUAGAUAUGUCUCAGAACUCCGAUUGCGAAGGAAGCUUACUAAGCCGUGAUUGACGCUGAUGCACGAAAGCGUGGGGAUCAAACAG
Molecule: ribosomal RNA, 418 nt
Filed under: uncultured bacterium
Lineage: Bacteria
Description: partial 16S ribosomal RNA
Rfam family: Bacterial small subunit ribosomal RNA
Source: RNAcentral